GAUGAACGCUGGCGGCGUGCCUAAUACAUGCAAGUCGAGCGAACAGACGAGGAGCUUGCUCCUCUGACGUUAGCGGCGGACGGGUGAGUAACACGUGGAUAACCUACCUAUAAGACUGGGAUAACUUCGGGAAACCGGAGCUAAUACCGGAUAAUAUAUUGAACCGCAUGGUUCAAUAGUGAAAGACGGUUUUGCUGUCACUUAUAGAUGGAUCCGCGCCGCAUUAGCUAGUUGGUAAGGUAACGGCUUACCAAGGCAACGAUGCGUAGCCGACCUGAGAGGGUGAUCGGCCACACUGGAACUGAGCCACGGUCCAGACUCCUACGGGAGGCAGCAGUAGGGAAUCUUCCGCAAUGGGCGAAAGCCUGACGGAGCAACGCCGCGUGAGUGAUGAAGGUCUUCGGAUCGUAAAACUCUGUUAUUAGGGAAGAACAAAUGUGUAAGUAACUAUGCACGUCUUGACGGUACCUAAUCAGAAAGCCACGGCCAACUACGUG
This 497-nucleotide ribosomal RNA is filed under the name uncultured bacterium. RNAcentral describes it as "partial 16S ribosomal RNA". It matches the Rfam family "Bacterial small subunit ribosomal RNA", at positions 28 to 507 of the family's 1533-position model. The record is from RNAcentral.